ACCAAUCCUGACGCUCUUUGCUGGCCUCUGGCCAAUCGCUUCGCUUUGUCUCCGCCCCGUCUCUCCGUCCCAGCCAGCAACUUCCAAAAGAGGCGUGCUCCGUCUAGAAGGAUUGAUGUCGCCAACAGCCAGUUGAGACUCGGAGAGCUGAAGAGAUUGAGGUCUCAAGGCGCCCGUUAUGCAAAAUCGCUCCUUCUCCUUUGGUCACGCGGCCUUUGGCAGUUUCUCGACUGACUUGCGAGCUCGAGCGCCUUCUGCUUGCCUCCAACAGCGCCCGCAAGAUUCGAAGAGCGACUCGUAACUUUCGUCUUUCUCAAAAGUGGUUGGGUGGUGAAAGGAAGGGUGAGGGAAGAGAGAUGGAUCAUAGGUCUAGGAGAGGAGAAAGGGGCAGAUGACUGAGGGAGAACUAAUAUUUGAAAGAAAAGCACUAUUUGGGGAGGAGAUAGUGUAAGCAGAGCUGCAACACUGUAUGUCAGGGUCACAUAUCAGGCCUGGCGGCUACGUGAACUAGUUAUGAAAGACUACCUUUGGGCAUGGCCAGAGUGCCUUUAUCCUUCUUCCCCAGCCGCUAAACGUUAUCGUUAUCUGUCACUUGAAAAAAGACCCUCUUUUCAUGUGCUGGUUGAGGCUGGUGGGAGUAGUAGUCCAAAACAUCGGGAGGGCACCAGGUUGGCAAAGACUGUAAUAUACCGUGACUUAAUAAAGGUUUUUCCUUAUUAUUAUUUCCAAAAUACAGAAACUAUGCAAAGUGUGGAGAAAAUGGAUAGAGACUUUUUUUUCUUCUGCCCCUCAGAUUAUUAGAUAACUCAAGGCCAUCCAGUGACAUGUGAUGGAUAGACAAAAAUAAGGAGACCAACCAAGCUUCAGUGCAGAAGUCAAUGCAGGAACUCAUAGCUUAUAGCAAGACUACCAACAGCUGUUCUAGUAGAAUGCAAUGCAGGAAGCUAAUGGGCUCUCUCAACAACAAAUGGGAGAGGGAAGGCACCAGACAUCCGGUGGCAUAUCUAAGUCGUAAGCUGACAUCACGGGAGAAGAACUAUUCAUCAGUACAGAAGGAAUGCCUAGCAGUCGUGUGGGGGCUGAGCAAGUUGCGCCCAUACGUGUGGGGAUGAAGAUUCACAGUUGUAACGGAUCAUCGCGCAUUGCUGUGGUUAGAGACAAUGAGGAACAAUAACACCACGUUGCAGAGGUGGUCCUGGGCAUUACAGGAAUACCAGGUGGCCUUCGUUUUUAUAAAAGGUCUCUUCUGCAUCCUUUCCAAUCUGUCAACAUCCUACUAAUAACUGAGCUGGGCAGAGCUGCGGUAUUUCUUCCCAAACCUUGGAUGCGAGGCUUCUGCUAAUGCAUUAAAAACACACACAAAAACCCCAACAACCCGAAAUUAAACAACAAACGAGAGAAGGACCAUAAUGGUGGAAUGCUGCAACGAACAGAGACAUCUGAAAGCCAAAGAAGAUUCCCAGCUUCUCCUGUUCUCUCUUCCGCAGUGGUUGCCUAAGCAGCGGCAGCUUCAGUUCACAUGCUGCUCAUGACAUCACUGGCUAUAUCGGUUUGCAACAGUUCAACAGAGCAGCAACAGACUAAGGCACCAUCUCUCUCACAAACCCAAAAUGUGGUGAGAAAGUAUUCAGGGGAAAUGAAUUCUUCCUCUGAGAAACUUGUCAGGGAGACAGAAAGUGAUCUUCACACGAGUUAUUUAUCAACAGUGCUGGCUUGCGCUCUCUUCCUGCUUCUGCAACUCGUCCUCCAUUCCCAUCCACCCACUUAUGCAAGAAGACAAUUUUUUAUUUAAAAAAUGGACUUCUGCCAUGGUAUUUGCACAAUUCCCUAAGCAUUAAGGCUUCGGUUGGACAAAUGCUCUAAGACAUCACUGGAGAGAUUUCCCAGGCUUGCAUUGCCCCAAAAGACUAAAAAAUAAAUAAAAUAAAUACUGGUUAGAGGCCAACUAACAACCUUUUGAGCAAAUGAAGCCACGAGUAAUUCUGCAAAAAAAGGAGGGAGGGAUUCAAUUGCUUCAAGAUGAAUGCAGUCAGUUCCCAAACUGCUGAUAGCUAAGCUCCACCUGUCUCUGGAUUAAAAGGGACAGUUAUUUCAUUUUUGCAGACAAAAAAGGUUUACCUUUAGGCAUAGAUGGCAUCAGAGGGAAUCUGCUGAGGCUCACACCUCAACAGGGCCCCAAGUGCAGACCCCUGGAGAGCUCUGGCUUCACUCCUCAACCUUGCUGUUACUCCCCGAUUACCUGCCCUCUCCACAAGCAUCAUAGCUCAGUGGCAGAACAUCUGCUUUGCAUGCAGAAGGUGACAAUUCAAUUUCCAGUAAGGGCUGGGAAUGAUCCAGUCUGAAAACUUAGAAAGCUGCUGCUAGUCAUUGUUUCGGCAAUACAGAGCUAGAUGGGCUAAUGGUCUGGCUCAAUUUAAGACCAUUUUCUAUGUUCCUAAACAUGCAAACAGCAUCCUUCACCUCCCUCGCACUCUGGGCAGACGGGGCCAAGAAAAAUGAGCACGUGAUGACAGUAGUGAGGAGGGGGACCCGUUUAGGGCAUCUUGACCAAAGCCUCCACCCUGUCCGUGUCCCCUCUGGAACCAACAGCAUUUUUAGGCAUGUCAAAGAGUGAGGACUGCCUGCCCUUGGAGGGACCUGUGCUUUGGCGCAAGGCCCUAUUCAGGGCCAGCCUCCUCUGACGGGAGAAAAGUCUGCUGCACCUUUUGCACUGAGAGUAACUGAAUGAUCCAACCACAUGCAAUGACCCCAUUUCACAAUCACCAUUUUUAUUAUUUACUUUACAUUUGUAUCCCACCUUUCCACACAAACAGUGAUCAAGGCCGCAUUUCUGCUAACUGUGAGAUAACUCACUAUUUAAUAAGCAAACCGCAGCUCAUGGAUUGUCAAAGGAAAGGUCAUCUUUUCAUCUCUCUCGUCAAUUGAAGACUCUUGAAAUCUAAAUUCAAGGUCCUGAGAACCAGGAUUUAUUACUGGAGUUUUUUGCGUGUUUUUUAACUGAGUUCUCACAAGUAAUUUGUGUAGGUUCCUAGGUUGCUGGAAUAUAGUGAAGGCUGUAAGGUAGUGAUGGGCACAGGCUUGGAUAACUUUGAAAGGGGAUUAAAGAAAUGUAUGGAGAAGUCUAUCAAUGACUGAGUCAAGGGGACUGCGGAACCUCCAUGUUCAGAGGCAGUAUAUCACUGAAUGCCAGUUGCUACACAAGUAGGCAACUAUAGGAGACUUGCUUUCAUGCCCUCUUUAAGAGUUACCUGGAGGCACCUGGUAAGCCACUGUAGGGUAAAUGAUUCCAGAUUAGAUGGACCUUUAUUCUGAUCCGGCAAGGGAAAGGACCAUAGCCCAGUGGUAGAGUAUCUGCUUUGCAUGCAGAAGGACCCAGGUUCAAUCCCUGGUGUCUCCAGGUAGGGCUGGGAGAGACCCGUGCUUGAAACGCUGAACAGCCUCUGCUCUUCAGAUAAUACUGAAGCGAUAGAUAACACUGAGCUGGAUGGACUCACUGUGAGGCAGCUUCCUGUGUUCCUAGCCCAGCAUCACACUCACCUUGCCAAAGGCAUUUUAAAGUGUUGAGAAUUGGCUACCAAACUGAGGGAUCAGCCGCUACAAAUGCUGCGACAAAGACAUAUGCCAGCACAACCUGAAACCUACAUAGCACCAAGAACAGCUAACCCAAUUAACAGGGCAAACUGAUGCAUGCAUAUCUACUGGGUCUGCAAUCCUGUUAGACAUGGGCAUAGGAACCACAGAACUGAAUGGGAUGCACCCUGAAAGGAUUGCACUGCAAGUCUGCUAUCUUCUCCUACAAUACACUCAAGAUGGAGGAUAGUGGAGUGCGGCUAAAUGCAGAUUUUUAAAUGCAGAAUUUUCAAACCAGCUUUUCUCUCUCGAUCCUGCCUGCUAUAGUUAACAUCCAGCCUGACAAAGAGUUCUGGAGAAUUCAAGAGCUGAUCCUUUGUUUUGUCACAUGGAUGGUCCGAUAAAAAAUAAUGAUUAAAAUGUUUUUAUUUUCUUUUUAAUUGUAGGGGGGGUUAUUACAGAAGCGUUUGCCACCCUGGGUUGAGAGGAAGGACAGGAAAUAGAAAUUUAAUAAAUAAAUAAAUAAAAA
Rhineura floridana is the source of this 4099-nucleotide long non-coding RNA. RefSeq lists it as uncharacterized. NCBI's taxonomy places the organism in Eukaryota, Metazoa, Chordata, Lepidosauria, Squamata, Rhineuridae. The transcript is spliced from 4 exons. The record is from RefSeq and is a predicted model, not a curated record.